AGAGUUUGAUCCUGGCUCAGAACGAACGCUGGAGGCAUGCCUAGUACAUGCAAGUCGAACGAGAUCUUCGGAUCUAGUGGCGCACGGGUGCGUAACGCGUGGGAAUCUGCCCUUGGGUUCGGAAUAACUUCUGGAAACGGAAGCUAAUACCGGAUGAUGACGUAAGUCCAAAGAUUUAUCGCCCAAGGAUGAGCCCGCGUAGGAUUAGCUAGUUGGUGAGGUAAAGGCUCACCAAGGCGACGAUCCUUAGCUGGUCUGAGAGGAUGAUCAGCCACACUGGGACUGAGACACGGCCCAGACUCCUACGGGAGGCAGCAGUAGGGAAUAUUGGACAAUGGGCGAAAGCCUGAUCCAGCAAUGCCGCGUGAGUGAUGAAGGCCUUAGGGUUGUAAAGCUCUUUUACCCGGGAUGAUAAUGACAGUACCG
RNAcentral lists this ribosomal RNA (426 nucleotides) under Sphingomonas sp. gl16. Its description in RNAcentral is "bacterial SSU rRNA". It matches the Rfam family "Bacterial small subunit ribosomal RNA", at positions 8 to 480 of the family's 1533-position model. The record is from RNAcentral. Lineage: Bacteria; Pseudomonadati; Pseudomonadota; Alphaproteobacteria; Sphingomonadales; Sphingomonadaceae.